RNAcentral lists this ribosomal RNA (710 nucleotides) under Vibrio sp. ACH-27. Its description in RNAcentral is "bacterial SSU rRNA". It matches the Rfam family "Bacterial small subunit ribosomal RNA", at positions 45 to 733 of the family's 1533-position model. Lineage: Bacteria; Pseudomonadati; Pseudomonadota; Gammaproteobacteria; Vibrionales; Vibrionaceae. The record is from RNAcentral.
GGCCUAACACAUGCAAGUCGAGCGGAAACGACACUAACAAUCCUUCGGGUGCGUUAAUGGGCGUCGAGCGGCGGACGGGUGAGUAAUGCCUAGGAAAUUGCCUUGAUGUGGGGGAUAACCAUUGGAAACGAUGGCUAAUACCGCAUAAUGCCUACGGGCCAAAGAGGGGGACCUUCGGGCCUCUCGCGUCAAGAUAUGCCUAGGUGGGAUUAGCUAGUUGGUGAGGUAAUGGCUCACCAAGGCGACGAUCCCUAGCUGGUCUGAGAGGAUGAUCAGCCACACUGGAACUGAGACACGGUCCAGACUCCUACGGGAGGCAGCAGUGGGGAAUAUUGCACAAUGGGCGAAAGCCUGAUGCAGCCAUGCCGCGUGUAUGAAGAAGGCCUUCGGGUUGUAAAGUACUUUCAGUUGUGAGGAAGGGGGUAGCGUUAAUAGCGCUAUCUCUUGACGUUAGCAACAGAAGAAGCACCGGCUAACUCCGUGCCAGCAGCCGCGGUAAUACGGAGGGUGCGAGCGUUAAUCGGAAUUACUGGGCGUAAAGCGCAUGCAGGUGGUUCAUUAAGUCAGAUGUGAAAGCCCGGGGCUCAACCUCGGAACUGCAUUUGAAACUGGUGAACUAGAGUACUGUAGAGGGGGGUAGAAUUUCAGGUGUAGCGGUGAAAUGCGUAGAGAUCUGAAGGAAUACCAGUAGGCGAAGGCGGCUCCCUGGA